This 465-nucleotide ribosomal RNA is filed under the name uncultured bacterium. Its description in RNAcentral is "partial 16S ribosomal RNA". It matches the Rfam family "Bacterial small subunit ribosomal RNA", at positions 28 to 507 of the family's 1533-position model. The record is from RNAcentral.
GACGAACGCUGGCGGCGUGCUUAACACAUGCGAGUCGAACGGAAAGGCCCUGCUUGCAGGGUACUCGAGUGGCGAACGGGGGAGUAACACGUGGGUGAUCUGCCCUGCACUUCGGGAUAAGCCUGGGAAACUGGGUCUAAUACCGGAUAGGAGCCAUUUUUAGUGUGAUGGUUGGAAAGUUUUUUCGGUGUAGGAUGAGCUCGCGGCCUAUCAGCUUGUUGGUGGGGUAAUGGCCUACCAAGGCGGCGACGGGUAGCCGGCCUGAGAGGGUGGACGGCCACAUUGGGACUGGGAUACGGCCCAGACUCCUACGGGAGGCAGCAGUGGGGAAUAUUGCACAAUGGGCGCAAGCCUGAUGCAGCGACGCCGCGUGGGGGAUGACGGCCUUCGGGUUGUAAACUCCCUUCGCUAGGGACGAAGCUUUUUGUGACGGUACCUAGAUAAGAAGCACCGGCUAACUACGUG